Molecule: long non-coding RNA, 372 nt
Filed under: Daphnia pulicaria
Lineage: Eukaryota; Metazoa; Arthropoda; Branchiopoda; Diplostraca; Daphniidae
Description: uncharacterized LOC124340554, transcript variant X2
Source: RNAcentral
GUAAAAAGUUGGGAAUAGAUACGCUGACCAUCAUCUGAUUCUUCACUGCUGCUAUCUAUAUGUACAAAAAAUACUGUUAACAGUUGGGAAUUGAUACGCUACCCAUCAUCUGAUUAUUCACUGCUGCUAUCUAUAAAAGCAAAUUCAAAUGGCACACCCAGUGAGCAAGGUGGCAUGGGAUGUGUUGCCAACUCAGAUGACGUUGACUCACCAGACAUAAGUCUUCAAACAAUCCGUGAUGAUGUUGCUUGUUUACAAGCUCCACCUAAUGAUUUACGUUUGCUCGCUGGAGAUUUUGUUCUAAAUCUUUUGGCAGAACAAAAGAUGACACAAGUUAACAUUAAGUAUAUUAUGGAUGAGGGGACCAACCUA